AUAUUACUCCCUCCGUCCGAAAAUACUUGUCAUCAAAAUGAAUAAAAGAGAAUGUAUCUAGAUGUAUUUUAGUUCUAGAUAUAUUCCUUUUUGUCUAUUUUGGUGACAAGUAUUUUUGGACGGAGGAAGUAUAUG
Triticum aestivum (bread wheat) is the source of this 135-nucleotide non-coding RNA. The record is from Rfam. Lineage: Eukaryota; Viridiplantae; Streptophyta; Magnoliopsida; Poales; Poaceae.